ACGGGUGCGUAACGCGUGGGAAUCUGCCCCUCGGUUCGGAAUAACAGUUAGAAAUGACUGCUAAUACCGGAUGAUGACUUCGGUCCAAAGAUUUAUCGCCGAGGGAUGAGCCCGCGUAAGAUUAGGUAGUUGGUGGGGUAAAGGCCUACCAAGCCGACGAUCUUUAGCUGGUCUGAGAGGAUGAUCAGCCACACUGGGACUGAGACACGGCCCAGACUCCUACGGGAGGCAGCAGUGGGGAAUAUUGGACAAUGGGCGAAAGCCUGAUCCAGCAAUGCCGCGUGAGUGAUGAAGGCCUUAGGGUUGUAAAGCUCUUUUACCCGGGAUGAUAAUGACAGUACCGGGAGAAUAAGCCCCGGCUAACUCCGUGCCAGCAGCCGCGGUAAUACGGAGGGGGCUAGCGUUGUUCGGAAUUACUGGGCGUAAAGCGCACGUAGGCGGCGACUCAAGUCAGAGGUGAAAGCCCGGGGCUCAACCCCGGAACUGCCUUUGAAACUAGGUUGCUAGAAUCUUGGAGAGGUCAGUGGAAUUCCGAGUGUAGAGGUGAAAUUCGUAGA
Molecule: ribosomal RNA, 557 nt
Filed under: uncultured Novosphingobium sp.
Lineage: Bacteria; Pseudomonadati; Pseudomonadota; Alphaproteobacteria; Sphingomonadales; Sphingomonadaceae
Description: bacterial SSU rRNA
Rfam family: Bacterial small subunit ribosomal RNA
Source: RNAcentral